This 574-nucleotide ribosomal RNA is filed under the name Johnrandallia nigrirostris (blacknosed butterflyfish). RNAcentral's name for it is "partial 16S ribosomal RNA". It matches the Rfam family "Bacterial large subunit ribosomal RNA", at positions 1817 to 2597 of the family's 2925-position model. The record is from RNAcentral. Lineage: Eukaryota; Metazoa; Chordata; Actinopteri; Chaetodontiformes; Chaetodontidae.
CGCCUCUUGCAAAACUAACGAAUAAGAGGUCUCGCCUGCCCUGUGACUGUGUGUUUAACGGCCGCGGUAUUUUGACCGUGCAAAGGUAGCGUAAUCACUUGUCUUUUAAAUGAAGACCUGUAUGAAUGGCACAACGAGGGCUCAACUGUCUCCUCUUUCCAAUCAAUGAAAUUGAUCUUCCCGUGCAGAAGCGGGAAUACCCACAUAAGACGAGAAGACCCUAUGGAGCUUCAGAUAACAAGGCAGACCAUGUUAAAUACCCUUACAAAAAAGAUUAAACUAGCGGAAUACUGCCCGAAUAUCUUUGGUUGGGGCGACCGCGGCGAAACAAAAAACCCCCGCGUGGAAAGAGGGGACCACCCUUCAAACCAAGACCUACCGUUCUAAUAAACAGAAUGUCUGACCUCUAAGAUCCGGCAAUGCCGAUCAACGGACCGAGUUACCCUAGGGAUAACAGCGCAAUCCCCUUUUAGAGUCCAUAUCGACAAGGGGGCUUACGACCUCGAUGUUGGAUCAGGACAUCCUAAUGGUGCAGCCGCUAUUAAGGGUUCGUUUGUUCAACGAUUAAAGUCCU